Molecule: ribosomal RNA, 332 nt
Filed under: Staphylococcus pseudintermedius
Lineage: Bacteria; Bacillati; Bacillota; Bacilli; Caryophanales; Staphylococcaceae
Description: partial 23S ribosomal RNA
Rfam family: Bacterial large subunit ribosomal RNA
Source: RNAcentral
GAUUAAGUUAUUAAGGGCGCACGGUGGAUGCCUUGGCACUAGAAGCCGAUGAAGGACGUUACUAACGACGAUAUGCUUUGGGGAGCUGUAAGUAAGCUUUGAUCCAGAGAUUUCCGAAUGGGGAAACCCAGCACGAGUUAUGUCGUGUUAUCUGCAUGUGAAUACAUAGCAUGCAAGAAGGCAGACCCGGAGAACUGAAACAUCUUAGUACCCGGAGGAAGAGAAAGAAAAAUCGAUUCCCUGAGUAGCGGCGAGCGAAACGGGAAGAGCCCAAACCAAUAAGCUUGCUUAUUGGGGUUGUAGGACACUCUGUACGGAGUUACAAAAGAAUU